This 492-nucleotide ribosomal RNA is filed under the name uncultured bacterium. RNAcentral's name for it is "partial 16S ribosomal RNA". It matches the Rfam family "Bacterial small subunit ribosomal RNA", at positions 29 to 507 of the family's 1533-position model. The record is from RNAcentral.
AGUGAACGCUGGCGGUAGGCCUAACACAUGCAAGUCGAACGGCAGCACAGUAAGAGCUUGCUCUUACGGGUGGCGAGUGGCGGACGGGUGAGGAAUACAUCGGAAUCUACUUUUUCGUGGGGGAUAACGUAGGGAAACUUACGCUAAUACAGCAUACGACCUACGGGUGAAAGCAGGGGAUCUUCGGACCUUGCGCGAUUGAAUGAGCCGAUGUCGGAUUAGCUAGUUGGCGGGGUAAAGGCCCACCAAGGCGACGAUCCGUAGCUGGUCGGAGAGGAUGAUCAGCCACACUGGAACUGAGACACGGUCCAGACUCCUACGGGAGGAAGCAGUGGGGAAGAUUGGACAAUGGGCGCAAGCCUGAUCCAGCCAUACCGCGUGGGUGAAGAAGGCCUGCGGGUUGUAAAGCCCUUUUGUUGGGAAAGAAAAGCAGCAGGUUAAUACCCCGCUGUUCUGACGGUACCCAAAGAAUAAGCACCGGCUAACUUCGUG